GUAGCAGAGCACCCAGUCCUUGCAGCGUGCUGAGGAGAUGUCUGCAGAACAGCCUCGGGCGCUGCGCAGAGCCCAGGCGUGGGGGGAGCGGGUGUCGGUAAUUAUUAACUGCUAAUAGCGAGAGAAACCAUUAUGGUUCACAAUGGGCUUUCCUUUCACACCGCUAAUUGUGUGAUGAACUUACUUUGGCAGUAAAUUGUCACAUCUGCUGCGGAGAAGAUUGCACUUAGGGAAAUAAAAUAAAUACAGUUGCUGUUCCUUUAUCCUUGGAUGAUUGAGUCGCUAAAAAAAAAAAAGGAAAAAAGAAACUUGGCAGAUGGAACAUAUUAUUUGUUAGACAAGGCUUCAGGAGGAGAGAGCAACUCCAGAGGUCCCAGGCGAGCAGUGCAUUUCAGUGGCAGGGCUAACCUGAGCUUCCUUCCACUUGCUCUUGCACUGCCCCGUGCUGCAAUGAGCAGCUGUCUGCAGCUGGAGAGAACUUGGCUGGUAGGGCCAAGCGUGGUGCCAGUGAGAGGCUGAGCGGCUGGGCCACCAUCUUCUUCCUGCUGGCACCUGGGGAGUGCCAGAAAAGAGGAAAGGAGGGUUCUGAUCUGUUAAGCUGUGUUUGCCGAAGCCUUCCAGUCUUCAAUCCAUGAGCAUUUUUGUUUAUAGAAAUGGAAAUUUUGGCUGAGAUGUAGGCAAUGCCAUUACCAAAACCUUGCUCCUAACAAUACUGGAUGGUCUUUCUAAAACUACCCCCGUCUUUUCACAUGUUCCUAAUGGUGAGUGGGUGUCUCAGUUUUCAAAUGAUGAGGCAUUAGAGGGCUUUGUUUUUUCUGAUGCUGGGUACAUUGCUCUACACAUUACGUGCAGGCUGACUGUCAAAGAAUGGCAGGGAGCUCUGGAGGGCCUUCACAAUGAUCCCAGGUUGCUAGAGAGAAGUGACAAAUCUUUUAUUUAAAUGUCCUCUUGCAAGAAUCCUACUUUCAAAUGCUUGUCUGUGUCAUAUCAGUCCCUCUGCUCAAUACCGAUUGCCUUUCUCACAUGUCAGGUCAGUAUCACUGCGUUUGUGCUACCCACAGCCACAUUUACACAAUCCUUUUGUCAGUUUGAUUGAGACAAAUGCAGGAAGUGACAGAUGGGUUAAUGGUCCUACCUCAGUGUCAUCGCAUCGCUGCAGGAAAUAGCAUCAACAUGCAAUCAGAGCACGAUGUGUGCUAUUACAGUUCAUUUGUCUUUAGAACAAUUUUGGAGAAUCAGUGGGUGUCUUAUGGUUCAAGAUCAGCCGUAAAAAUACACAUGCUGCUCCUCCGGGUUGUUCAAGUGUUAUUCCAUUCCUUAGCUCCUGCAAUGGAGUUCUGAGCUUUAACUCUGCCUCUGGAGCUGGCCAAAAGUCAGAGCUUCAGUUUUUCAGCAAGUUUUGUUUCAGUUCACAAUUAAAAAAAAAAAAAAAGAGUUUUGUUUUGUUUUAAAUUCACCCUAGGUCCCAAAGCACUGUUGCUCAGGAACCUGAAGCAUCUUUGCAGUUACCAUUG
Molecule: long non-coding RNA, 1514 nt
Filed under: Gallus gallus (chicken)
Lineage: Eukaryota; Metazoa; Chordata; Aves; Galliformes; Phasianidae
Description: lncRNA (ENSGALG00010015428.1)
Source: RNAcentral